This 253-nucleotide ribosomal RNA is filed under the name uncultured bacterium. RNAcentral describes it as "partial 16S ribosomal RNA". It matches the Rfam family "Bacterial small subunit ribosomal RNA", at positions 524 to 776 of the family's 1533-position model. The record is from RNAcentral.
UACGUAGGUGACAAGCGUUGUCCGGAUUUACUGGGUGUAAAGAGCGCGCAGGCGGUCGUUCAAGUCGAGUGUGAAAGCCCCCGGCUCAACUGGGGAGGGUCAUUCGAUACUGAUCGACUCGAAGGCAGGAGAGGGAAGUGGAAUUCCCGGUGUAGUGGUGAAAUGCGUAGAUAUCGGGAGGAACACCAGUGGCGAAGGCGACUUCCUGGCCUGUUCUUGACGCUGAGGCGCGAAAGCUAGGGGAGCAAACGGG